CAUUGUUGAUUGUUGAUAGUCGCGGAGGAGGUAGUUAAGAAGGAGCUAGUUGUUGAUUAAAGCUUAAAGUUUUAGAAGUAAAAAUCUUGCAAGACUUGGAGGUAUUUAGGUCAUUCAUGGAUGAAUGACAAUCUUGUGGUUUAGAGGCUUAGACAUCCCUCUCCUCAUGGCUCUUGGUAUAUUUAGUUUUGAUGGUCUUGUUAUUGUCAAAUUUCUGUAAAUGGUCAAGUGUGGUUUCUUGAAUUUGCAAAACUUGUAUUUUGACUUAAAAAGCGUCAAAAUGGGUAAGAUGACCUAUUUACUUGUAUAAACUUGGUUUGUAUAAAUGGAUGGUAUGGAGACUUUUGGAAA
This is a long non-coding RNA of Erigeron canadensis, 351 nucleotides long. RefSeq lists it as uncharacterized. The record is from RefSeq and is a predicted model, not a curated record. Lineage: Eukaryota; Viridiplantae; Streptophyta; Magnoliopsida; Asterales; Asteraceae. The transcript is spliced from 2 exons.